CCUACGGGAGGCAGCAGUGGGGAAUCUUGCACAAUGGGGGAAACCCUGAUGCAGCAACGCCGCGUGAAUGAAGAAGGUUUUCGGAUUGUAAACUUCUAUCAUUAGGGAAGAAAGAAAUUACGGUACCUAAAUAAGAAGCCGCCGCUAACUACGUGCCAGCAGCCGCGGUAAUACGUAGGGGGCAAGCGUUAACCGGAAUUACUGGGUGUAAAGGGAGAGUAGGCGGCAAGGUAAGCGAUAUGUGAAAGCCUUAAGCUUAACUUAAGGAUGGCAUAACAAACUGGCUAGCUAGAGUGCAGGAGAGGAGAGCGGAAUUCCUAGUGUAGCGGUGAAAUGCGUAGAUAUAAGGAAGAACACCAGUGGCGAAGGCGGCUCUCUGGACUGAAACUGACGCUGAGGUUCGAAAGCGUGGGGAGCGAACAGGAUUAGAUACCCCGGUAGUC
RNAcentral lists this ribosomal RNA (443 nucleotides) under uncultured bacterium. RNAcentral's name for it is "partial 16S ribosomal RNA". It matches the Rfam family "Bacterial small subunit ribosomal RNA", at positions 338 to 795 of the family's 1533-position model. The record is from RNAcentral.